Oncorhynchus masou masou (cherry salmon) is the source of this 1224-nucleotide long non-coding RNA. RefSeq lists it as uncharacterized. The transcript has 4 exons. NCBI's taxonomy places the organism in Eukaryota, Metazoa, Chordata, Actinopteri, Salmoniformes, Salmonidae. The record is from RefSeq and is a predicted model, not a curated record.
GUCCCUACCAGUCACCAUCUCCACUGUAGUCUUCUACAUAAUCAGAAAUGAUAGACGAGAAGGACCACCAAUCAGUCUUCAGGCUAUUUUGGAGUCCAACCCACUGCCAGCAAUCAUCCAAAAAAUAGCGCCACCCAUCCUGCCGUGGCUGUCAGGAGGUCAUAGGCUGGACACACUGAUAAUCACACGCACCUAUGAGGAGCAGCUCUUAAUGGGCUUUCCUUUCAGCAGCAAAGGAAUCCUCUCCAGACACACUCCUCUGGUGCUGCCCAUGUAUAUAAAGGAGGUGCGUGUUGCACUGACAGAGGGGUUGGAGACAAGGUACACCGCAGCAUGAAAAAAAUAUUGUUACAUUACACGUUACAUCCCUUUGAUAUCACCGUUUUCAAUUAGAGUUGAUUGAAAACGUUCAUGAAUAAAUGGAGGGGAAGCCAAUCUACAUGUACAUGAGCCUGAAGAUCCAGGGUGAUGAAAUCAACGUCUACCAGCACCUUGUUUUUGAGACAACGAGCCUCCUACUUUACAGAGAAAAGUAGCAAGAUCCCCAUCUCUACCCCCUAAACCACAAUAUUUACAAAUAGCUAGACACAAACUUCCACCCCUUUCUCCAUCAUUGGAGAACAAUUCCCAGUUCUACUGUGGUGGCUCAUGGCACCCACUCUUCUGCUCCUUAGCAGAGGUGCCCUCUAAUCUACGGGUCCUGAGUGUGGCACUGGUAUGCUCCAGCCUGCGACUGCUCAACUUGGGCUAGUACUGCCAGGCCUUUGAGAGGGAGAAGAUUGAUGGGACGUGUUAAACACAGUGGAGCCCAGCAUGAUGAGGAAGACCCUGGGUAUGGAGUAUCUGCAUGUGGGCAAGCUGCUCUGCUUCCAACAUGGCUGGAGGCCCUUACUUGGGUCCUUUGGAGCUGAGCAGGUAGGGUAGUGACGGAUUACCUGUAAUGGGGAUAUGCAAUCAGAUUAUAAAAAUUACAGGGGCAAUCUGGGAACCAAAAAGCAAUAAAGCGGUCAUCCUGACACUUUUUUGGUAACCAGCUGCAAUUUUUGGUAGCCAGCUGAAUACAUAAAAGGACAUUUUAGAAACAUGUAUUGCAUAUUUAUGUUAGGCUAAGUACCAUUUACAUUAGUAAUGGUUGAAGUGUCAUUCAAAAUAAAGGCUACUUUUGGAGUAAUUCCUGCUGGGAAGCAAACAUUCAUCCACACAGCAUGAUAAAAAGCACAGGUU